Molecule: ribosomal RNA, 250 nt
Filed under: uncultured bacterium
Lineage: Bacteria
Description: partial 16S ribosomal RNA
Rfam family: Bacterial small subunit ribosomal RNA
Source: RNAcentral
UACGGAGGGGGCUAGCGUUGCUCGGAAUUACUGGGCGUAAAGGGCACGUAGGCGGUCAAUCCAGUUAGGCGUGAAAGGCCUGGGCUUAACCUAGGAACUGCGCUUAAUACUGAUUGACUAGAAUCCGAGAGAGGGUAGUGGAAUUCCCAGUGUAGAGGUGAAAUUCGUAGAUAUUGGGAAGAACACCAGUGGCGAAGGCGGCUACCUGGCUCGGUAUUGACGCUGAGGUGCGAAAGCGUGGGGAGCGAAC